RNAcentral lists this long non-coding RNA (310 nucleotides) under Androctonus crassicauda. Lineage: Eukaryota; Metazoa; Arthropoda; Arachnida; Scorpiones; Buthidae. The record is from RNAcentral.
UAAAACAUCAAAAGAGGGAUGUUUUUUAUUGAAAUUUGGUGGUGCAGUUAUCAGUUACUGAUAAAUCUUCUUUCAUCAGUCCUCCAACGUUUUAAGAGUAGCUCUUCCAAGUAUCUUCCUGAUGGUCGAUUUCUAUUUUUAGUCAUUUUCGAUCCUGCCUUUGAAAACAGUCUUUCGCAGGUACCGAGGAGGCCAUUACAAUCAUAUGAAUCAUAUGGCUUUAAUGGCUUCCUCGGUACCCUGCGAAAGACUGUGUGAGGGUCAAGAACGCGAGUUGGAUAUAAAGUAUCUCACCUUUCUCCUAGAUUAC